This 429-nucleotide ribosomal RNA is filed under the name uncultured Alphaproteobacteria bacterium. RNAcentral describes it as "partial 16S ribosomal RNA". The record is from RNAcentral. Lineage: Bacteria; Pseudomonadati; Pseudomonadota; Alphaproteobacteria.
AGUCAUUUUCUUCCCCGACGAAAGAGUUUUACAACCCAAAGGCCUUCUUCACUCACGCGGCAUCGCUGCAUCAGGGUUUCCCCCAUUGUGCAAGAUUCCCCACUGCUGCCUCCCGUAGGAGUCUGGGCCGUGUCUCAGUCCCAAUGUGGCUGGUCUUCCUCUAAGAACAGCUAUUGAUCGUUGCCUUGGUAAGCUUUUACCUUACCAACUAGCUAAUCAAGUGCGGGCUCAUCUUUCGGCAUUAAAACUUUCCCCGUAAGGGCUUAUUCGGUAUUAGCACAAGUUUCCCCGUGUUAUUCCAAACCAAAAGGCAGAUUCCCACAUUAUACUCACCCGUUUGCCACUCAGUAUUGCUACUGCGUUCGACUUGCAUGUGUUAGGCGUGCCGCCAGCGUACGUUCUGAGCCAUGAUCAAACUCUAAUCACUAG